Molecule: ribosomal RNA, 429 nt
Filed under: Actinomycetes bacterium
Lineage: Bacteria; Bacillati; Actinomycetota; Actinomycetes
Description: Actinobacteria bacterium partial 16S ribosomal RNA
Rfam family: Bacterial small subunit ribosomal RNA
Source: RNAcentral
UAGGGAAUCUUCCGCAAUGGGCGAAAGCCUGACGGAGCAACGCCGCGUGAGUGAUGAAGGUCUUCGGAUCGUAAAACUCUGUUAUUAGGGUAGAACAAAUGUGUAAGUAACUAUGCACGUCUUGACGGUACCUAAUCAGAAAGCCACGGCUAACUACGUGCCAGCAGCCGCGGCAAUACGUAGGUGGCAAGCGUUAUCCGGAAUUAUUGGGCGUAAAGUGCGCGUAGGCGGUUAUUUAAGUCUGAUGUGAAAGCCCACGGCUCAACCGUGGUGGGUCAUUGGAAGCUGGAAAACUUGAGUGCAGAAGAGGAAAGUGGAAUUCCAUGUGUAGCGGUGAAAUGCGCAGAGAUAUGGAGGAACACCAGUGGCGAAGGCGACUUUCUGGUCUGUAACUGACGCUAAUGUGCGAAAGCGUGGGGAUCAAACAGG